AAUCAACGCUGGCGGCGUGCCUCAGACAUGCAAGUCGAACGCGAAAGUUCCCUUCGGGGAAUAAGUAGAGUGGCGCACGGGUGAGUAACACGUAGGUAAUCUACCUUCGGGUGGGGAAUAACCCAGGGAAACUUGGGCUAACACCGCAUGAUGCAGCGGCACCACAUGGUGACAGUUGUUAAAGCGGGGGAUUUUCGGACCUCGCGCCUGAAGAGGAGCCUGCGGCGGAUUAGCUAGNGGUGAGGUAACGGCUCACCAAGGUCACGAUCCGUAGCCGGCCUGAGAGGGCGGUCGGUCACACUGACACUGACAUACGGGUCAGACUCCUACGGGAGGCAGCAGUCGGGAAUUUUGGGCAAUGGGCGAAAGCCUGACCCAGCAACGCCGCGUGAAGGAUGAAAUCCCUCGGGAUGUAAACUUCGCAAGAACGGGAAGAAU
Molecule: ribosomal RNA, 438 nt
Filed under: uncultured bacterium
Lineage: Bacteria
Description: bacterial SSU rRNA
Rfam family: Bacterial small subunit ribosomal RNA
Source: RNAcentral